AGUGAACGCUGGCGGUAGGCCUAACACAUGCAAGUCGAACGGCAGCACAGGAGAGCUUGCUCUCUGGGUGGCGAGUGGCGGACGGGUGAGGAAUACAUCGGAAUCUACUCUGUCGUGGGGGAUGAUGUAGGGAAACUUACGCUAAUACCGCAUACGACCUACGGGUGAAAGCAGGGGACCUUCGGGCCUUGCGCGAUUGAAUGAGCCGAUGUCGGAUUAGCUAGUUGGCGGGGGAAAGGCCCACCAAGGCGACGAUCCGUAGCUGGUCUGAGAGGAUGAUCAGCCACACUGGAACUGAGACACGGUCCAGACUCCUACGGGAGGCAGCAGUGGGGAAUAUUGGACAAUGGGCGCAAGCCUGAUCCAGCCAUACCGCGUGGGUGAAGAAGGCCUUCGGGUUGUAAAGCCCUUUUGUUGGGAAAGAAAUCCAGCUGGCUAAUACCCGGUUGGGAUGACGGUACCCAAAGAAUAAGCACCGGCUAACUUCGUGCCAGCAGCCGCCGUAA
Molecule: ribosomal RNA, 506 nt
Filed under: uncultured bacterium
Lineage: Bacteria
Description: partial 16S ribosomal RNA
Rfam family: Bacterial small subunit ribosomal RNA
Source: RNAcentral